Molecule: ribosomal RNA, 460 nt
Filed under: uncultured Petrimonas sp.
Lineage: Bacteria; Pseudomonadati; Bacteroidota; Bacteroidia; Bacteroidales; Dysgonomonadaceae
Description: bacterial SSU rRNA
Rfam family: Bacterial small subunit ribosomal RNA
Source: RNAcentral
CCUACGGGGGGCUGCAGUGAGGAAUAUUGGUCAAUGGAGGCAACUCUGAACCAGCCAAGUCGCGUGAAGGAUGAAGGUCUUAUGGAUUGUAAACUUCUUUUGCAAGGGAAUAAAGUGGGGGACGUGUCCUCCUUUGCAUGUACCUUGCGAAUAAGGAUCGGCUAACUCCGUGCCAGCAGCCGCGGUAAUACGGAGGAUCCGAGCGUUAUCCGGAUUUAUUGGGUUUAAAGGGUGCGCAGGCGGGAUGUUAAGUCGGCGGUGAAAUUUUGCAGCUCAACUGUAAAAGUGCCUUCGAUACUGGCUUUCUUGAGUGUGGAUGAAGUAGGCGGAAUUUGUGGUGUAGCGGUGAAAUGCUUAGAUAUCACGAGGAACUCCGAUUGCGCAGGCAGCUUACUAAACCACUACUGACGCUCAUGCACGAAGGCGUGGGGAUCAAACAGGAUUAGAUACCCUGGUAGUC